This 391-nucleotide unclassified non-coding RNA is filed under the name soil metagenome. RNAcentral describes it as "partial contains 5.8S ribosomal RNA, internal transcribed spacer 2, and large subunit ribosomal RNA". The stretch from base 1 to 122 matches the Rfam family "5.8S ribosomal RNA", at positions 35 to 154 of the family's 154-position model. The record is from RNAcentral.
GAUGAAGAACGCAGUGAAAUGCGAUACUUGGUGUGAAUUGCAGAAUCCCGUGAACCAUCGAGUCUUUGAACGCAAGUUGCGCCCGAAGCCAUUAGGCCGAGGGCACGCCUGCCUGGGCGUCACACGUCGUUGCCCCCCCAUCUACUCCUUCGGGAUUGCGGGGGGCGGAUGAUGGCCUCCCGUGCGCCUCGUCGCGCGGUUGGCAUAAAUGCCAAGUCCUCGGCGACGCACGCCACGACAAUCGGUGGUUGCGAAACCUCGGUUGCCCGUCGUGUGCGGUCGUCGCGCAUCGAGGGCUCGAAAAAAUUGUCGGGCUCCGGCUCGGCUUUCAACGCGACCCCAGGUCAGGCGGGGUUACCCGCUGAAUUUAAGCAUAUCAAUAAGCGGAGGA